Molecule: ribosomal RNA, 451 nt
Filed under: uncultured bacterium
Lineage: Bacteria
Description: bacterial SSU rRNA
Rfam family: Bacterial small subunit ribosomal RNA
Source: RNAcentral
AGUUUGAUCAUGGCUCAAGAACGAACGCUGGCGGCAUGCCUAACACAUGCAAGUCGAACGAGACCUUCGGGUCUAGUGGCGCACGGGUGCGUAACACGUGGGAAUUUGCCUCGGGGUAUGGAAUAACUCAGGGAAACUUGAGCUAAUACCAUAUAAUGUCUUCGGACCAAAGAUUUAUCGCCUUUAGAUGGGCCCGCGUUGGAUUAGCUAGUUGGUGGGGUAAAGGCCUACCAAGGCGACGAUCCAUAGCUGGUCUGAGAGGAUGAUCAGCCACACUGGGACUGAGACACGGCCCAGACUCCUACGGGAGGCAGCAGUGGGGAAUAUUGGACAAUGGGCGAAAGCCUGAUCCAGCAAUGCCGCGUGAGUGAUGAAGGCCUUAGGGUUGUAAAGCUCUUUACCCGGGAAGAUAAUGACUGUACCGGGAGAAUAAGCCCCGGCUAACUCCGUG